Molecule: long non-coding RNA, 2633 nt
Filed under: Nicotiana benthamiana
Lineage: Eukaryota; Viridiplantae; Streptophyta; Magnoliopsida; Solanales; Solanaceae
Description: long non-coding RNA (NBEN_LNC033827)
Source: RNAcentral
CUUUAAUAUUUUUAUAUCCAAACAUGACCCUACCCCGCUCAUCACCAUCUCUCUUACACCCCUCAGAGACCAAAACCACGCCGCUUUAUACCGCCGCUUACCGCUCGCUGAAAAUCGCCCAUGGCGGCGGCCGGCGACCAAAUGCCACCAAAAUUAAACCGUUGCCUCUCCUCAACCCCCUCUUCCCAAAUCUCUAAUCAUUUUUCCUCAAAUCCACCCCGAAAGCCUCGAAUUUUCCAAUCCCUAGCACCACCCUGAUAUUCUCUGGUGGCGGCGGCACCACUAACCACCCCCAAAUUUACACCACAUUACCUCCUUCACCCCUUCUUCCCUAAUCCAUGACCAUCUUCCCUCAAAUCACCCCUGAACUCCUUAAAUAUCAAAUGGAAAUCAGAACCCUAAAUCCCAAAAAUGCAAAUCAACCAGUUGGACGAAGAUUUGAGCUCGGAUUGGACUUUAGUCGCAUGUUUUCAUCGAGAACACACGACUAAGGUCUAAUUAAGCCACAAAAUCUGAUUAUUCAAAGCGUUGUUCAAGGAUUUUAUUCACUUAUCUUUAGACAAUAUUUUUCUGGAACUUUUUCUUCACUUCCUUCCCUUAUUUUCUUUUUUGGUUCUUCUCUUCUUUGGUUUUGUCAAAGACCUUUCUGCAUGUGUCUCUUUAAUCCAGGCUAGUCGUUAACUGGUACUCCUAUUAGUUUUGUUUUAGUUUGUUUAAUUUUCAGAAGUUCGUUGUGAUUUAAAAGUAUUUUUGUUCAUUGUACGUUUUGUUAGUUUUCCAGAAUUGUUGUUCAUGCAUGAUUAGUUUUGCACCUUUUCUUUAAUCAGUAAAAUUAGUCCAUUAAUUAACUUAGUUUACUAAUUUAGUAAGUCUAAUUAAUGGUUUGUUUAGUCUAGGAUUUAAUUGCUGAAAUGUUUACAUUUUUCUAGUAUUUUAGAUUUUAAUUGGUUAAUUGGUUGUUUAAGGCUUGGGAUUUCUGACACAUUUAGGAAAAGAAGGCAACCUCAGUUUGGAAAUUGGACCCUUGGGUCAAAUUGACCCAUGUACGUUUGGUUUAAGGGUAAAAACAAAGGGUCUGAGGGUUAAUUUAGGAAAAUGGUAUAGGGAAUCUACGUGUUACUGCCUUAGGAAGCUUCCUAGAAGCUGAAAAAUAAAUUUGCUUGGCAAGCAGUAAAAAAUUUAGGGACCAAGCAGCAAAAAUAAAAAUUGAGAAAGGAUUGAAGGGCAAAAAUUGAACACUUUUAGGAUGCCCUAAUGCCUUGCCUAUAAAGGCAUCAUAACUUGGUUUUCAAGUCAGAUUUUUUAGAAUAAGAAUUUAGAAAAGAAAAGGACUGCUGAGAUUUUUUAAGAAUUCUGAAAAACUGCUCAAAACUCUGCUCAUUUUUAGUCUUUUACUUUCAAUUUGAUGAAUAUAAACUUUUUGAAAAUCAUAGCUUCUCAUUCUGGGAUUUGAAAUGGGUUGAAUUUGGGUUUUGGAACAAAUUUUGGUUUAAGUACUACUGGUUGGACACUGUUCUAUUGAUUUUCCUGAGCUGAUUUCACUAUGUUGAUUGAUUGAAUCUGAGGUUGUUUUCUGCAGUUGUGUAUUGCUGAUUGUUCACUUCCCUUUCCUUUUCAAUUUCCAGGUACAUGCUCUAAAACUUAUAUAAUGUGAAUGCUUGACUCGAAGGAUGAAAUGGAAAGUGGAAUCGUGAAGUUUAACAUUAGUUUGUAAUUCAUAGUUAUUCAUCUCUUUCCUUUUCUUCUGAUAUCUUUGGGCUUUGAAUGUGAAGCAAUGUUUCUUGUAUUCAGUGGGAAGUUUUGUAUCACACUUGUUUUGAUACUCAUAUAGUGUAAAAAUUAAAGUUGGUUUCUUCUAACAUUGUGCAAGACCUUGGGUGGUGUAGAACAGUAAAAGUCAUGUCACAUAUACAUGUUCAUUUAAGCUUUUCCUUUCUUAUCUUCAUUGAAUGACUGAGUCCACAUGACUGAAAAUUCGAAUGUGACUUUGAAGCCUUGGUCAUGUAUGCUGGUUUCUAUGGAAUUUUGAUGGUUUGAAUAUAAAUUAGUUGAGUUUAAGUUUGUUAGGUAAUGGAUAGUAGGAAAGUCGUGCAAAAGGGGAAAACCGUCAAGAUUGCUUUUAGGAAUAAUGACUUUGUUAUUAGCUUAAUUUUGGUUAUGCAUGACUAUCAGGGUGUUUAGCUAUGUUAAUUUGCGGUGAUUAGGUAAGAAUUGAAAGUGUUUAGCUAUAUUAAUUUUUAUGGAUAAGUUUAUAAAAUUUGAGCUCAAGUUAGACCAAUAGAAAGUAUCCUUCUUCGGGCUCGUCUUGUGCAUCUUGAGUUUCUAAUGUCAUUUUUCGCCUUGGGCCUAAGGUGGAAAGGAGUGGUAAGAACUGGGAUUACAUAUGGGAUUUUUACAUAUACAUCCCAUAUAGCAAACCUUAUAACCACUCAUGUUUAAGGUUAGUAUUUAUUACAUUUAAGUAUACCACCUUUCAAUUUAUAUACCAAAAUUUAUUUUUAAGGUUUAAGGAUCAACUAUUAAUUAGAGGCUUGAUUUGUGGAACAAAAACUUUUCAUAUUUUUUUUUAUACGUUUUUCUCUUUCUUCCAACCAAAACCGAUGCAUUUCUCCCCUUUUUUAAUUACACCCCCC